This 792-nucleotide long non-coding RNA is filed under the name Anser brachyrhynchus (Pink-footed goose). RNAcentral describes it as "lncRNA (ENSABRG00000005313.1)". Lineage: Eukaryota; Metazoa; Chordata; Aves; Anseriformes; Anatidae. The record is from RNAcentral.
AGAUGGAGAAAGAAGUAAGUUGUUGCUGAGAGAUCUGUAGUCAGGAUUGGACCAACAGCCAUUCACUGGACUAACAACUAAGUGGUAGGAGACAAGUGGGAAUAGGAAAAAAAAAAACACAACCAAAUAAAACCUAGUUAGAUACAGCAUAACAUAGUGGGUAGAGAUUACAUCCCUGUAACAUAAAGGAACUUUAUUUAACAAUGCAGAGGUCUCUUACGGCCAGCAGCUGUAAUCUAACUAGCCUAACAAGCCAAAGGAGGUUAAUUUGCUGAGGGCAGGGAAGAGCUGGGUGUUAUUUAUAGCACAAAUUGCUGAGCCUGCAAGCAUCUCCUAUGCCCUCAUUAUCCUUUUUGGAAGCAUCACAGCAAGUGUGUUUUUCAGGCUCUAUCCUCUCCAGCUAAUGCAGUUUUGGUUAGCCCAAGUCACCUGAGCUGAACCGUGCCCUUCUGAAAAUACUUCUUAAGCUUUCAGCAUAUCUUUGACCGUUUUUCUGAGUUCAAAGGGCGUUUCACUAGGGAAAAAAAAACAAACAAAACACCAUUGUGAGAAAAUCUGUGUUUUCAUCAGCAUUAGGGCAGAGUGCCUCUCCACUGCCCACAUGCGAGAGAAUGUUUACAUAAAGGCUAAUGUUUUCUCUUUGUUACUAUGUGAAUAAAAGCAGGUAUUUUUAGAGCAAGUACUGAUACUCGUCAUAUAUAUAUAUAUAUAUAGAGAGAGAGAGAGAGAGAGAGAAAUCUGUACUCUUUUUUUUUUUUAAUAAAGAGAUUCUUAUCAUCUGUCUGAAGUUCA